GUAGAUGUUUAUUGUUUAUCUUAAAAUAUAUAUUUAUAAAUGUAUGUGUUGGCGUAAUAUUGGUUAAGAAGUCUCUAUUAAGCGUAAAUUGCGAACCAAUAAAUAAUAAAUACACAAGAAAUUGAAUAAAAAUCUCCUAACUUAUGUUUUCGCCCAGUGGCACCACUGCCAAAUGUUAUAAAAAUUGCGGACUUUCGCAGCUCUCUCUCGAAUGAAAGAGUUUCGUAUCAUGUUAUCUUUGCUUUACUAAAUAAACGUCAUAGAAAGCAGUCGCUUGUGUCUACUCAUUCUUAUCUUAUAUACCGUACAAACGGUGAGUUCUGUAUUAUUUCAAAAAUCAAAGGAAUUACUCAACGUGACCGGGAGCAUCCACUCCACUUAUCUAAAGAAGAUCUGCCAACAAGAUCUUAUUCUUGCUAUAAUUCUGCAUUCGAAGGUUGUGUGCUAGUGGCAAAAAAGUUAUAUGAGAGAUAAAAACGAGCAUUAUACCAAUAGACCGAAGCGUAUGAGGAAUUGGCAAAGACUUUUAAAUAAAUAUAAAGAAAUUGAUGAGGAUGCCAUAAUUGAUAAAGCACAUAAAUGGUAGGCGAAACUCCUAUGGAAGCGAAUUAAGUAAAAAAAAGUCAGAAAAGUCUGGUACUGCCAACACUUUGGUAUUUUUACCAUUUAUACUUCCUAUUUCUCAUUUUAAGCGCACACCGAAAUUACAAGCGCUACAAUUUUCUCGAUGACGCCUUGUCCGUUCACUUCAACGAUUUCAAAGGAAUGAUGUCUGAACAACAUGUCGCACAAGUGUAAAACGAACUGACUUGCGACACAGUAUGCAUUUUUUCAGCUUUUACCAACACAUACUCAAUAGUAACUUUUUGUAGUUAAAUGGCAGUUAGAGUGGCAACAUUCAUUAACCCGAAUUUUUAUAUGUAUAAGAGAGAGAUGCACGUACUUCAAUGAACCGUUCAAAACCGCCGCCAUGGCCGCCAUUCAUAUGAAAAGAAAAUUUGAAAACGGUACUAUGUUUGACUGGGUACUGCAUCGUAUUUUAAAAGAUUAUAACUGCAGAAAAUGGUGUUGGAAGGCAAUGCGAGCUGCAACGCACAUCUGGUCCGUACACAAACAUGCAAAACUAAAAAGAGAAGCAGAAUAAGGAUUAUGCCCUUUUAGGCAGAUGGGUAACAGCAACAACAAAUAAUACGUAUCCAAAUUCACAAUAAAAGUCAAAAUCGCACAACGCAACCGGCAAAUAACAAUUACAUCGGACUUUUGGAGAAGCAGUUUCACUACUUAUUGUCGACGUGCUAAACAGUGUCUCCUAUGAUUCCCUUGAAUCACAAUGGAUAGUUAACAAGGUAACAGAGCUCGAAAAAACAAUAUUGAGGCGCAGAAGUUGUUUAUCCUGAUUUUGAAUGGACUAUGCAGGAAUUGUUAAGCUGAACUUACAAUUUAUCAUUUUCAAUAUUAUGAUUCUUAAUUUAUAAAAUUUGAACGUUCUCAAUAGGGCUAAAUUUAUUAAUAUAAAUGUAAAAUAUUUUUAAAUUAACAUCUAUAUACAAUGAAUUUACGAAUAUUUGUAACAAUCGUAAUAGUAGUGUAGUUUUAUUUGUUUUGUAUAACACAAAAGAACAAUACUUAAAACUUUUGAGAAUUUGUAAAUUAUAAAAAUUUAAUAUUUAAUACUAACUUUAUAUGUAAAAUAUGAAAAUUCUAUCAAUUUAUAAAUGAUAGCCGCAAAAACGUUUGUAAAAUUGAAAGUUUACUUUGUACUGAAAUGUUAAUAUUUAAAUUAAUCUAUAAUAUAAAAAUGAAUCGCAGAAUGUGUUGCUAAGCGCAUAACUCAAGAACCGCUGAACCGAUUUCGCAAAUUCUUUGUUUAGAAUGUUUUUAGAGGUACCGGGAUGGUUUGUGUCGUUAGUCGCGAAAAAAGUCAAGAAGGGCCAAACCGAUCUGGCUAAUUUUAGUUUUGAAAUAUUUAUGGAAGGCCAGGGAAGGAUUAGAAAGUAAGUAUAUAUCGAAAAAUUGUGAGGAAGACAACAAGAAGAUUAUUUUAUUUGAAUUGACAUCAAAAUUAUAAAAAAAAAAAUAAUAAUAAUAUUUUGAAAGUUGUCAUUGUUGCUUUGUUAAAAAUUUUUUAUCAUUGUUCAAUUGUAUAAGGCUGUGUCGAUAGCCCAAAACAAUUUGUAACAAGUAGGGAAAGGCAACCGAACAUUUUAUACUCUCGCAAUUUAUUGAUGUAAUUUUAUUACACACAAUUUGAAAUAAAGUCCAAUAGAAUAACAAAAAUCAGCAUAUAUAGUACAUGAGGGUUGAGGUAAUUCCUGAACCGUUUUCACUAAUUUUCAACGCCCAGUUAUAAUGGGAACUUGGCACCUGUUAGUAGGCAGACAAACGGCAAAUCGGCCUUGAAAUUACUCCUAAAUUGCAAAUCAACGAAACACCAGUCUGCAAAAUCGCCAAAAAAAGAGCUAUAAAGAAGAUUUUCCAGAUAUUCAAGUCGCUGGAGGUGCUGUACAGGACUUUAAAAGAUUUACGCGACAACGAAAAUAUUUUUGGUGAAGCCAUGAUUCUGUUGGCAGGUGAUUUUCGCCAGACUAUUCCUGGAUCAAGUGUUGCUGACAAACUAAUCACAUGCCUAAAAUCAUUUAAUUUGUGGCGACACAUAAAGAAUCGCUAAUUAACAAAUAACAUACGAGUAUUUUUCCAACAAUAUCAUACUGCAAUUGUAGAAAUAGUUGAAAAUGGUAGCGACGCAGUUGACACCUCGAAGGAUUAAUAACAUUUUUAACGGGUUUCUGUCACUUCUUGGACUCGAAAGAGGAGCUUAUUCAUCGUGUUUUUCCUGACCUGAAACCAUAAUAUAAUAAACAUAAAUGGCUUAUUGAAUGACAUAUAUUGGUGGUAAAAAAACAAGGAUCACUUUGAUCUUAAUGCGAUAAUUUAGAAUUUCGUUAAAGGAGAGUUGAUCCAGCUACAAACCAGGAGGACGUAUUCAAUUAUCCCACAGACUAUUUAAAAUUGCUGGCAACGAUGACAUGAUACGAAACUCUCUCAUUUUUCCUCAAACCGAAUUCCCUGAUCUCUCAUUUUAAGUUGGUAGCAAUGCGAGUUGAAGGAAUUUUUGACAGAAAAGGCGGGAUGCCAGAAGUAAUACCGGUAAAAGUAUAUGACAAAAUCGGUGCGAAAUACAAUUUUAGGGAAAUACACUGAUAAUAUUAAAU
Molecule: long non-coding RNA, 3212 nt
Organism: Zeugodacus cucurbitae (melon fly)
Lineage: Eukaryota; Metazoa; Arthropoda; Insecta; Diptera; Tephritidae
Exons: 3
Source: RefSeq, a predicted model, not a curated record